CUCCAAUUGAAUUGAUUCAUUUUAACCCAACCCCACGUCCCAUUGCCAGCAAACUAGACCAAACAAUUAUGGCAUCUAAAUACAUGUGUUUCAUAAAGAAUAUCAAAAAGAUAAGAUAAAGUUUCAGCAGCCAAAUACUCUAAAUGAAGAUCAAUUGGUGUAACUUAUUAUUGAUUUAAACUAAUUUAACCCCAAGAGUCCUCAUCUCGUCUUAAUUCAAUUCAUACGGCCCAUUUCCAUUAAGUCUAAUCUAUACUCAUCAGAGUUCUACUCAUAAAUAUUUUUCAUCCACUAAUUUAUACUUGUAUUUAGCACAUCCAAAUAAUUAAGAAGGAAGCAUCAUAUCAUUCCAUCCUAACAUAUAAAAAUAAUCAGCAUAAAUAGAAGAGAAAGAGACAAGAUGGACUUUAGCAAACUUUCCCUUUCUGAUUUGAUUAAAAUUGAUCCCAUAAACAAUGAAGCUUAAUCCACGAUUUGAGAAACAAACAGGGAUAGAAAUGGUAACAAUGAACCCGAAAUAAGAAACAUAUCGGCGACGCCAAGCGGAACGCUGAACGAUGACCUCAACUAUUCCUAACAACCCAGCUCCAAUACAACUUAGCAGAAAAGGAUUUCAAAUCGUCUAAUCGGCUCUUCGCCGUCUCUGUAAUUUGUUGUUCUUUAUAUUUAUCUUUUCGACUGUGUGUGUGGGUGGUGCCACUGACUUUGGAUGGUGUACGGCUGAUAGGAGUAUUGAUUGACGGUGGAGGUUGGUUCGUUUUUGGCGUGAGGGGCAGCUGGGAGGGGUCCAGCUGGUUGUGGUUGUUAGUGUUCUGAUUGAAGAAGAAGAAAAGGGUCAGCGGCUGUUGUUGUCGGAGAAAAUAGAGAUGGCAUAAGAGAGAUGGGGUUUUCACUAGUUUGGUGAGAGGUCCAGAAGCAGCGACGACUGUGGAGGGGUUCUUGCUGCAGCUGGUCCGGUGGCUGUGAGGGUUCAGAGGUGAUGAGGGGUCUGCGACUGUUAGAGCUCUAGGCGGACUCGUCUAAAAAUGGAGGGACAGCUGGAGAUUUUUGGGUGUGUGGAAUUAGGGUUCAGCUAGGGGUCUUCUAGUGUGUGCUCCCUCAAGUUGAAGAAGAAGGUGUCCUACUAGGUUAUAGUUAGGUCUAAUGAGGUUAUGGGCUAAGGAAAUGAGCCGUUCACUUUGGGCCCUUAUGGCCAGAUUUGUGCUUAAAAUGGGCUUAAUUAAUCAGAAAUCUAUCCACUCCACAUUAACUAUUGCCUAUAAAAUAAAAACAAAGAUAAAAAUAUUACUAAAAUAUUAAUUAGCCCGAUUUAAGUAGAAAUAACUAUUAAAAUAAAACUAACCGUUAAAAUAAAAUUAUUUUUGGUAUUUUUUAAGAUUAUAUAAAAAUAGAAAUCCUAGUAAAAUAGUAUGACUACAAAACAUUAAUGAAACUAUUUUUGUAAUUUUUGUUUUUGUGAUAAAAUAAAGUAAAAGAGUCAAAACUAGUUAAAAUAACGAUAUUAGACCUAAACUAAAUAUUUAAACGCUAAAAUGUGUAAAAUCACAUGGAGGGUCAAAAAUUACAUGUCAACAUUUGCCCCUCUUUGAUUGAAAAUGCGAAGAGUUUUCAGACAAAGAACGACGAGAUAGGUUUUUUGACCUGACCUUAUUUAGAGAGACCAAAAACUAAAAGACAGGAGAAUGUGACGAGCCCUAGUAUCUGAGCUGCCUACUUAUCCUUGGCUAUAUGGUAAUCAGGCCACGUGUAGUUCAGAAGUAGGAACAGUGAUGGAGUGUACCGAGGUGGAGAGCCGAUUGAGGUGUCGUCGAUGUCUUCUAAUCUUAGGAGAAAGAUUCAUCAGACUAGGUUUUCUAAUCUUAGGAUAAAGAUUUAUUAGACUAAGAUUUUGAUCCCAGGAGAAAAUUCAUCAUACUAGGUUUCUUAUCUUAGGAGAAAGAUUCAUCAGACUAAGAUUUCUUGUCCUAGGAGAAAAUUCAUCAGACUAGGGCUCUUAUCUUAGGAGAAAAAUUCAUCAGACUAAGAUUUUUAUCCUAGGAGAAAGUUCAUCAGACUAGGUUUCUUAUCUUAGGAGAAAAAUUCAUCAGACUAAGAUUUUUAUUUGGAGGAAAAUCCAUCAGACCAGGACUUUUUAUCCUAGGAGGAAAAAUGUGAAGAGCGAUGACAACAUUUUAUGCACACUAGCAAGACAGGCAAGGGCAAAUAUUUGAGAAACUUCCCUUUGUCAGCUCUUCUCUUCUUCUUCUUCUUUUCUUUUUUUUUUCUUUUUUUUCUUUUUUUCUUGUUUUCGAACCAACUUAUAUUGCUGUUAUUUUGUUAUUUUAUGUUAUGUUAUGUUAUUUUAUAUUUUAUGUUAUUUUAUUAUAAGCCUAUUGAUAGUACUAACAUAUUAUCUCUUGUUACUUUCUUGAGCCGAGGGUCUCCUGGAAACAGCCUCUCUACCCCUCGGGUAGGGGUAAGGUCUCCGUACCUAUUACCCUCCUCAGACCCCACUUGUGGGAUUAUACUGGGUCGUCGUUGUUGUUAUUGUUGUUGCUUGCAUUGUUUUGUUCCUAUUUCAAACAACUAAAACUUAUAAGUUUAAAUGUGAUGGUUAGUUUGUGUCCUUGACCUUGAAGGCGGCUGCUUCUGCACUUGCCAAGAUAACUUUGAUUUUAACUUGGAAGACCUUGCCUGUUAUCGACUACCCAUUUUCUUUCAACCCUUAUCAUAGAAAACACCUCUGCUCCAUUCGAUCCCAAUAUCCUCUAUUUGUUGCAUUUUGCUCAUGAAUUGACAUUUACUGAACCCUUGCAUUUUACAUGAAUCCCAACGCAUGUUGAUUGUUACCAACUCAAUGCGCAUACCACUUUUCCCUGACUUAUGCCACUUUGAUGUGCUAGCCAAAUUCGUUUUGUGCAAUUGGAAAGCUGGUAGCAAAUUUUGAAGUCAUUUCUCACUUGUUCUGACCAAACAAACUCAAGAAGGGACUCAAACAAAACAAGAGAAACAAAAUAAGGGACAAGGGAAAGAGAUGAUACCUAACAAGAAAAUUACAAAGUAGAAACUUAUCAGAUGUGCAUACCAUCUCUAAUAACCAUGACAUGCACCUUUGGAUUAAGUGGCCUAAUCUCUCAAGCAAGUCUAAUAUUCAACUCUUAUUGUACCUCUUCGCUGUGAAACUGGGCUUCAAUGCUUCAAUUGUCCCAUCUGAUCCACAAUCAUCAGUCGACUUGUACUGCCCUGAAGGGUUUUCACCAUCAAGCCUCUCUCAUUUUGCUCUUUUCUCAACUCAUUGUCGCCUUACGGUGCCCAUAAGGGUUUUCACCGAUAAGACUCUCUCAUUUUAUCAUUUUCUCUCUUUGUGCUGAGAACAAGGUAUUACCCAUGAUAUAAGAAGAUCAUACUUUUACCACACACUUUAUUUGGCAUCCUCAAAGAUUGGUCGAAAGGUCUUUUUUUGGACCGUAAUGUAGGCUUUUGGACAGGGUUAGAAAGAAAGGGUGACAUGAAAGCUGAAAAUAAUUUAAGAUGAAAUUACAACUUUUGGAAUCAGAUCUUUUGGCCAAAUUAAACUUCUGCCCCAGUUUUUUGGAGUUUGGGGAAUUGUUUUAGGAUUGUUUUUGUCUUGAUGAGAUUUCUAAGAAAAUCUGCCCCAUUCUUGAUUUCGGGGGAUUAUGAAAUACUUUACUUGGUGUGACUGAACCGUAAGGCUGCCUACAUAUCUUGAGAUGACAAGAAUCAGGUCGAAAGUAGUUCAAAAGACAAAGUUGUUUUUUUUUUCCUUUUUUUUCUUUUUUCUUUUCUUCUUUUUUUACCUUCUUUAGUUCCUAACUCUAUUUCUGAUUCCAAAAGAGGGGUAUGAAACAAGAAAUUAGGGCUCAAAAGGGGUAGCAAAGGAUAAAAGUGUUUGGGUAGCAGAAUAAAAUGUCUUCGCCGUACCAAACUUAAAAAUGCCAAGUACAAACAUGCAACUGAAGAUAAACAAACAAAUCACACAUAGUAUCUAUUGAUGGCAUCAACACAAACAAAAAGUGCCAAUGGGCAAUACCUUUGUCCCAAUGAAUGAACCUUGCUAGUUCGAACCAGACUUGACUCAAACUUAUCUUGAUGUGGAAGAAUGCAUUUCAAUACUCACUGAUCUACCUCAAACUUUUGAGCGACAUUUUCGUGUUGUAUGAUCUUAUCAACAUCUUGAUUUCCCAGACUAACUGCCUCAGUUUCACUUAAUUCAAGCUUUAGGAUAUCUCAGAAUGCGUGAAUCUUUGCUUGUUUCCUCAAAUGCAUCUUCGUAUCAUAUUUAGAACUGUGUCAUUGCUUCAUGAUUAGACUAACUUUCAAGACCAAGCUGAGAAUUAUGCGUGCAUGUCAUAUCACUAGAGUCGGCAUGAAAAGAACUAUAAAAGGAAAAAUGACAAAAACUGACUAGAAUUAACAGAAAUAGAAGAUCACAUUAGACAAAUGGUGAAAAGGGUUUGAACAGAACAAGCAAAAUAGACAUGGGUUACAACCCUGGAACAAACCUAGAUAAUACUAGACGAAUUACCACAACUAAACGAACUAGGCAAAAUAAGAAGAAAAAGGAAGGUUUGAGCCACAAGACAAUAUCCGGAUAACAACCCUGAAAUAAUCCAGAAAACAGAAAUGACAACAAAAUAAACCACCAAAACUCCUCCAUGACUGGCCAAGAAAGGAGUGUCUUUCCAAUUACCAAGCUCAACAUCUUAGCCACUGGAUUGCACAUCGAAAUUAUUGGGACCUUCACCAGUUUCAAUAUCAUUAACUUCAGUCAGCAAGUUCCCAAGAGAAUUCUCAUACUCCUUGUCACUACGCAUAUUCCCCACAAAGUGUGCAUCAUCAUGUGCAGGUAAAUAAUUUUGCACGAUGUUCUAGGUGUCACUGUCCUGGAUCACAAUUAUCCCUUCUUGAAUCAUUCUUUCUAUUUUUCUUUUCAAAUCCCAACAACUUUCGAAGGGUCAAAGCUUCUUGCACGCGGGUCCACAUGAUUCGGAGGAAUAAGUGCAAUCAGGUCAUAAUGCUUCAAUUUCUCAAACAAGCUUGCACAGGAAUCUCCUAUCGGUGUAAAGUUAUCUUUCAAACUUUGUUUACCUCUAUACCCCUGGCUUAGAUGUGGGUUAUGGGCACCUGAAAAUUUUGUGAAGUCUAGUAGAGAUUUUGCGGUGCUGCCGCUCGCCUUCUAGGGUGUCUUGGUGGCUAGACAACAUACUGGGGUGGAGCAACAGAGUAUUGUGGGUUCUCAGGGGGAAUCGUCAAAAAACAAAUGAGGUUGGUCAUGCCUUCGAGAUGUUCUUCUAGGACCUCUUCUCGACCUUGAUGUCAUCAUGAUUUCUUCAACCUUCUCACUCAUGCCACUAAAAUUACCAGAUUCAAUUUGGACAGCCUGAGUUGCAGCUUUGAGAGCUGCUUGACUUAUAAUUUUGCCUAUCUUAAGGCCAUUCUCUACCAUUUCUCCCAUUUUGAUUACUUCCGAGAAUGAUUUUCCAAUUGCGGACAUCAUGUUUUAAAAGUAAUCGGGCUCUUGAGCUUGAAGGAAGACAAUGAUUAGCUCGUGGUCAUCCAUGGAUGGCUUAACUCUAGCUGCUUGUUCUCUCCAUUUAAUGACACACUCCCUGAAACUUUUAGUUGGUUUCUUCUUUAUAUUUGAGAGGGAAUGACGGUCCGGGGCGAUGUCAAUAUUGUAUUGGAACUGUUUGACAAAGGCCUGGGCCAUGUCUCCCAGACAUACCAGCGACAUGUGUCUUGACCCAUAAACCAUUCGGAGGCUACACCCGUAAGGCUUUCCCCAAAAUAAUCCAUCAGUAAUUCUUCAUUUCCUCCCACACCUCUUAGUUGAUUGUAAUACCUUUUCAGGUGGGCUAUGGGGUCUCCAUGUCCAUCAUACUUUUCAAAUUUGGGAGUCUUGAAACCAAGUGACAAAUGAAUAUCGGGGAACAUACAUAGAUCCUUGAAGGCAAUACUCUUUUGACCUGCCAGUCCUUGUAUGUUUUUCAACUGUUGUUCCAAGCUUUUCAGUCUUUGGGUUAUUUCUUCCUAUGCUAUUUUUCGGGAAGGUUUCUCAAUCUUUGCAGGAAGAUCAAAUAGGUAAGAGUGGUACUCAGGAGAGUGGUAUUGUCCUUGAUGGGUAGCAAAUUGUGACUCAUGAGUUUUCCUCGGCACCACUGCUGGUUGUGGGAUGGUGAAGACAUGCAUAGCUGUAGUGGUUGUCUGAUUGGUUGUCAAUGGCACACUUUGGGAGUACAAAAUAGAAGUUCCAGCUAUAGUCGUGCAAUUGGGAUAAAAACUGAACCUAAAUGGAUAGAAUUGAUUGGACAAUGAAACCGGAGUGGUAGUAGCCGAGAUGGGUGUAAACUCUGGGAAAACAUAAGAACGGGGUGGUCCUUGACCAUUGGCCCAUGCUUGACACAUUUCAGACAUUUGUUGUUUCAGCCUUUGGACCUCCUCGUUCAAUUCAGAUUCUGACUCCACAAUCUCCCUCGAGGGGUCGACAACUCCUGUAUCCAAGUCUUUGCUAACCAUGGCUUCCUUGCUUUUUGACCUUGUGUUGUAUGGAUAAAUCACCAAAGUUUCACAAACUAACCACCCUCUAUUAUAAUGAAAGUAACAAAGUGGAGCAAAACAAAGCCAACAUGUUAGCGUUAGGACAUUUAUCAGAUAGAAAUAUCACAUUGCAUACAAUGCCCCUAACAAUAAUUAACGGUUCUAGAAUGACUUUGAGGGUCACAAGGUCAUUUGGCAUCAUCCCAAUUUUGUUCAUUUCAACCUUCUCUUUUCUUUCUUUUCUAGCACUUCUUGGCUUGCUCAUUUUCCUUCAUCUCUUUUUCUUUCCUCAUUUCUCACAUCCACAAUUUCAUCACUUUUUUCUUUUUAUUUUUCUCUUUUUUUUAGUUUUCAAAAAAAUAAUUUGAUCUAACCCUAUGUAGGUUGCUUACGUAUCAUGUCCCUCAUCAAUCAGAUCAAACAUAGUUCUGGAAAAGUAAUGGACAUAAUAAACUAAGAAACAAAAAUCUUUUUGGGAUUCUUCAUUAAUUUUUUUGGUUUUUCAAAUACAAAAUGGUAAUUAAUAUAGCAAAAGACUCGAUAUUACUUUACAAGACUGGAAAGUAAAAGACAACAUGAAUGACAGACUUAAAACAUAAAAGUAUUUAUAAGUAGCUCCUAAAUGCAGUGGUCCUGGGGUAUUUGUCAUGCUCGAGCUCUGGUACACUGAUCUAUACCUGAAUGAGAAAAAUAAGACCAAAAAGAGUUAUCGACUCAAGACACUAUGCGACACCACAACACCUCCUAUAGGACACAUGCAAGACGCGAUUGGGCUAUUUGUAAAAAUUAACUUAUGUGGCCAAGAGUGGCUAAAAGUGUAAACUCAACAAGAUUGACCUCAUAGACAUGGGAAAUGCCUCACUAAGGCUUUUAUGGAUUCAAAAUCCCAAUAAUCAUGGCCCAAAAUUAAUUUGCAAAAAUGAUCCAUUUUGCAGAAACGGCCGAUAUGGCCAGAAGUGGAUAAAGAUGCAAACUCAAUAAGGAUGGACCUUAAAGUAAUAUGACACCUAGUUGUGGACUCAAGAUCAUAAGACAUGGGUCAUUGAACUACUUUUGCGCAAAUGACCCCAUUUUUGCAAGAAUGGCCGAUGUGGCCAAAAUUGGCUAGACAUGCAAGAUUUGGCUAAGACCCCGCGGAGCCAAGAACCUAAGACUUACUAGGAAGACCAGACCCUAUGUGAGUUGCCUACGUAUCCUGCCCCAAAAGACGAGAAUCAGGUUCGUGUAGUUCGGGAAGAUUGGAUAUGGGAAAGAAAUUAAAAAAACUAAUUUUGAGAAAACAUAUUUUGUCUUUUUUGAAAAAAUGAUAGAAAAUAUAAAUUCUUUUUGGAUUUUUUUUAAUUUUUUUGGAAAGGAUGAGAAAGUGCAAAAUCUUUUUGGAUUUUUCAUUUUUUUUUGGGGUCUUUGCUUGAAAAAGUGGUGAAAGAAAAAUAUAACUAGCCCCUACUUGCUUCAUAUUAUACUUCACCCUCUUUUCUUUCUCAUUUACCCUCAACCAUCAUUGGUCCGCCAAAUGACCCAUUUACCCUUAAAAAAUGCAGCAUAUAGCACAUAGAGAUGAUUAAAUGUCUUUUUGGGCCAUGUGCCCAUUUUGACAUAAUUUGGAUAGGCCUCCUAUAAAGGGACACGGUGCCCGGAACCGAGCCCUACUAGGUUUAAAUGAUAUGAUGCAAAUAAGCAUAAAGGCUGACCUAAGCUUGGGGUUCACUAGGCAAGGCAAUUCGGGGCGGCACGUGGUCGAUGGUGGCUGCUCUAGCUGUCCGCCCACUCCACGCUCCCAUGCCACCCUUCUAAAGACACGGGUGACUUACAAAAGGUCGUGUACGCUCAAACAUACUCCGGAAGACAUGUUGCAGAAAAAAGACCCAGGGUUAUGCAAAUGAUGACAGUUUAUAAAGCAGUAACACAUAAGGAAACGCGAUAAACAAAUAACUAGCAAAACAGGAAAUAAGCCAAACAAACAAACUAAAAAAAAUAAAGAAAACAAACACCUCAACCGAAUAUUCUAAAAGCCAACAAGAUCAAGUAUCAGCUCGAACCUGCAGUUCCCUAGCAGAGUCGCUAGAGCUGUCACAUCCCUUUUUCAUGCCUCACUAACCCUCUUAUAAAUAAUAAAAGUGAUUUGUAAAGCUCAAAAGGGUUUUCAAUUUGAAAGUGACAAAAAAUUGUGUUCAAAAGGAUUUUUCAGAGUCACCAUUUGACAUUGGUUUCGGUGUGUCAGGUCACCAUUUUGUAAAAAAAUGAUUUUUCCGUUUUAAAACACUUUGGACUCCAAAGCUGAGUCUGCAUCAUAGAUUUGGGUAAGGAGGUUCAUUUGACCUGGGGAAAAGGUGUUAGGCAUUCCCUGAGUCUCGUAACUAGUACGGUUGCGUACUUGACCUAGUCGACUUUUAAAAUAUUCGAAUUGAGGUAACACUACACAAAAGAAGACAACCACAAAAGAAGGCUCGAUGUCGUCUCACCUAAUAAAAAAAUGAAAAUAAAAAUAAAAAUAAAAUAAUAAGAGUUCUACUUUCGGCCUCCAAAUACAAAUACUUCGGGGCAUACCCCGAAUAAAAUAUAUACAAAUUUUGUAGGGCAUUCCCCGGAUAAUAAACUAAGAGAAACGACCUCGAGCCUCAAAUAAAAAUGAACUAAAGAAAAUCUAAGAUUUGCCUACCCAAGUGUGGUCGGCCUAGAACAUGCUCCUAGCGGGUGGCAUAAUAAUAAAAGUAAUUGAUAAUAGAUAAUAAAUAAACAGAAGAGAACAAACUAAGAGAAAAAUUCAACUCAUUCUCCAAUUGAAUUGAUUCCUUUUAACCUAACCCCACGUCUCAUUGCCAACAAAUUAGACCAAACAAGUAUGGCAUCUAAAUACAUGUGUUUCAUAAAGAAUAUCAAAAAAGAUAAGAUAAAGUUUAAGCAGCCAAAUACUCUAAAUGAAGAUCAAUUGCUGCAACCUAUUAUUGAUUUAAACUAAUUUAACCCCAAGAGUCCUCGCCUUGUCUUAAUUCAAUUCAUAUGGCCCAUUUCUAGUAAUUCUAAUCUAUACUCAUCAGAGUUCUACUCAUAAAUAUUUUUCAUCCACUAAUUCAUACUUGUAUUUAGCACAUCCAAAUAAUUAAGAAGGAAGCAUCAUAUCAUUCCAUCCUAACAUAUGAAAAUAAUAAGCACAAAUAGAAGAGAAAGAGACAAGAUGGACUUGAGCAAACUUUCCCUUUUCGAUUUGAUUAAAAUUGAUCCCACAAACAAUGAAGCUCAAUCCACGAUUUGAGAAAUAAACAGGGAUAAAAACGGUAACAAUGAACCCAAAAUAAGAAACAUAUCAGCGACACCAAGCGAAACGUUGAACGAUGACCUCAAAUGUUUCCAACACCCCAGCUCCAAUACAACUUAGCAAAAAAGGAUUUCAAAUCGUCUAAUCGGCUCUUCGUCAUCUCUGUAAUUUGUUGUUCUUUUUAUUUAUCUUUUUGGCUGUGUGGGUGGGUGGUGCCGACGAUUUUGGAUGGUGUAUGGCUGAUAGGAGUAUUGAUUGAGGGUGGAGGUUGGUUCAUUUUUGGCAUGAUGGGCGACUGGGAGGGGUCCGGCUGGUUGUGGUUGUUGGUGUUCUGAUUGAAGAAGAAGAAGAAGAAGAAAGGGGUCAGCAGUUGUUGUUGUUGGAGAAAAUGGAGAUGGCGUGAGGGAGAUGGGGUUUUCGCUGGUUUGGUGAGAGGUCCAGAAGCAGCGGCAGCUAUGGAGGGGUUCUUGGUACAGCUGGUCCGGCGGCUGUGAGGGUUCAGAGGUGAUGAGGGGUCUGCGACUGUUAGAACUCUAGGCGGGGCCGUCUAAAAAUGGAGGGACGGUUGGAGAUUUUUGGGUGUGUGGAAUUAGGGUUCAGCUAGGGGUCUUCUAGUGUGUGCACCCUCAAGUUGAAGAAGAAGGUGUCCUUCUAGGUUAUAGUUAGGUCUGAU
RNAcentral lists this long non-coding RNA (10466 nucleotides) under Nicotiana tabacum (common tobacco). Its description in RNAcentral is "long non-coding RNA (NTAB_LNC004061)". The record is from RNAcentral. Lineage: Eukaryota; Viridiplantae; Streptophyta; Magnoliopsida; Solanales; Solanaceae.